Molecule: long non-coding RNA, 484 nt
Organism: Monopterus albus (swamp eel)
Lineage: Eukaryota; Metazoa; Chordata; Actinopteri; Synbranchiformes; Synbranchidae
Exons: 3
Source: RefSeq, a predicted model, not a curated record
ACACGGAUUACUACACUCUCAACAGAGCUUUGAUGUUUCACGAUGCUACUGAAAAUCCAGUCACGAUAUUUACGAGAAACACAGCCCGGAGCGCAGUUGGAAACUCGAGCAAAUUAAUCUUCUCUUGUUUACCAGCAAAGCUACACACGCAUUUGAAGGCUCCGUCUUCAACAGCAUUCAACAAAAGUAACCAAGCUAGCAGACUGACCAAACAAACAGCCAUUCCAAAUGCCAAGCGCAGUUCUCUAUGCCUAUGGAGCGAAGAAAGACCGGAUUGUUUUUGCACAACAGAAGUGGCCACGUUUAAGUUGCCAGCUGUAAAGCAGCAAAGCAAUUUAUAAUGCAACAUCAUAUAUCCACAUACUCUAACCUCGCCGCGCACGUUCAAACCUUGGCCAGCACGCUGAUAAAAUCACACUCCUUCAGCUACAGUACAUACAUGGAAAUCUGGGAGGAAAGUAUGUAUUCCAUUUAGACGUCAAAG